RNAcentral lists this long non-coding RNA (25369 nucleotides) under Triticum aestivum (bread wheat). RNAcentral describes it as "long non-coding RNA (TAES_LNC026026)". The record is from RNAcentral. Lineage: Eukaryota; Viridiplantae; Streptophyta; Magnoliopsida; Poales; Poaceae.
UGUUUUUUGUUUUUGGUUCUGUUUAGGAAUAAAUAAUCCAUCUAUAUUAUGUUUAGAUGUGGUUUUAUCUUUUAAUUAGUGUUUGUGCCAAGUUAAACCUAUUAGAUCUUCUUGGAAGAUAGUUAUUUGAUCUUGCUGUAAUUUCCAGAAUCUUUGCGCUCAGUGCCCGAAUUGUCAAAAAUCACCGGAACGUGAUAAAAUAGUGAUUCCAAUUUCUGAUGAUCAAUAAACAAAUUUCCCAGGUCUUCUAAUUUUGGUAGAAUGUUUUGGGUUCCAGAAGUUUGCGUUAGUAACAGAUUACUACAGACUGUUCUGUUUUUGACAGAUUCUGUUUUGCGUGUGUUGUUUGCUUAUUUUGAUGAAUCUAUGGCUAGUAAAAUAGUUUAUAAACCAUAGAGAAGUUGGAACACAGUAGGUUUAACACCAAUACAAAUAAAGAACAAGUUCACUACAGUACCUUAAAGUAGUCUUUUGUUUUCUUUCUCUAACGGAGCUCACGAGAUCUCUAUUAAGUUUUGUGUUGUGAAGUUUUCAAUUUUUGGGUGAAUUCUUUUGAUGGAUUAUGGAACAAGGAGUGGCAAGAGCCUAAGCUUGGGGAUGCCCAUGGCACCCCAAAGAUAAUCCAAGGACACCAAAAAGUCAAAGCUUGGGGAUACCCCAGAAGGCAUCCCCUCUUUCGUCCACUUCCGUCGGUAAUUUACUUGGAGCUAUAUUUUUAUUCACCACAUGAUAUGUGUUUUGCUUGGAGCGUCUUGUAUUAUUUGUGUCUUUGCUUGUUAGUCUACCACAAUCAUCCUUGCUGUACACACCUUUUUAGAGAGCCAUGUAUGAAUUGAAAUUUGUUAGAAUACUCUAUGUGCUUCACUUAUAUCUUUUGAGCUUGAUAGUUUACUCUAUGUGCUUCACUUAUAUCUUUUUGAGCGUGAUAAUUUUUGCUCUAGUGCUUCACUUAGAUCUUUUAGAGCACGGUGGUGGUUUGUUUUAAAGAAACUUGAUCGCUCAUGCUUCACUUAGAUUAUUUUGAGAGUCGUUAAUAGCAUGGUAAUUUGCUUAAUGUUAAUAUACUUGGUAUUCAAGAUAUGUGAAACUUUCUUUUUAGUGGGUUGAAUACAAAGAUAAGUUUGAUGCUUGAUAAUUGUUUUGAGAUAUGGAGGUGAUAAUAUCAUAGUCGUGCUAGUUGAGUAGUUGUGAAUUUGAGAAAUACUUGUGUUGAAGUUAGCAAGUCCCGUAGCAUGCACGUAUGGUUAAAGUUGUGUAACAAAUUUGAAGCAUGAAGUGUACCUGGCUUGUGCAUCCUUAUGAGUGGCGGUCGGGGACGAGCGAUGGUCUUUUCCUACCAAUCUAUCACCCUAGGAGCAUGCGCGUAGUACUUGAUUUUUGAUGACUUCUAAAUUUUUGCAAUAAGUAUAUGAGUUCUUUUGACUAAUGUUGAGUCCAUGGAUUAUACGCACUUUUACCUUUCCGCCAUUUGCUAGCCUCUUCGGUACCGUGCAUUGCCCUUUCUCACAUUGAGAGUUGGUGCAAAUUUCGCCGGUGCAUCCAAACCCCGUGAUAUGAUACGCUCUUUCACACAUAAACCUCUCUAUAUCUUCCUCAGAACAGCCACCAUACCUACCUAUCAUGGCAUUUCCAUAGCCAUUCCGAGAUAUAUUGCCAUGCAACUUCCAUCAUCAUCAUCAUCAUCAUCAUGACAUGCUUUACUUUUGUCAUAUUGCCAUUGCAUGAUCUUGUAGUUGACAUCGUAUUUGUGGCAAAGCCACCAUGCAUUAUUUUUCAUACAUGUCACUCUUGAUUCAUUGCACCAUCCCGGUACACCGCCGGAGGCAUUCAUAUAGAGUCAUAUCUUGUUCUAGUAUCGAGUUGUAAUCAUUAUGUUGUAAUCAAUAGAAGUGUGAUGAUCAUCAUUAUUAGAGCAUUGCCCAAUCAAAAAAGAGAGAAAGGCCAAAAAGAAAAAAAAGGCCCAAAAAAAGGAGAAAAUAAAAAGGGCAAUGCUACUAUCUCUUUUUCCACACUUGUGCUUCAAAGUAGCACCUUGUUCUUCAUGUAGUGAGUCUCAUAUAUUGUGCUUCAAAGUAGCACCAUGAUUUUCAUAUAGUGAAUCUCAUAAUUUGUCUUGUUCAUACUAGUGGGAAUUUUUCAUUAUAGAACUUGGCUUGUAUAUUCCAACGAUGGGCUUCCUCAAAAUGCCCUAGGUCUUCAUGAGCAAGCAAGUUGGAUGCACACCCACUAGUUUUCUUUUGUUGAGAAUUCUUAGCUCUAGUGCAUCCAUUGCAUGGCAAUCCCUACUCCUUGCAUUAACAUCAAUUGAUGGGCAUCUCCAUAGCUCAUUGAUUAGCCUCGCUGAUGUGAGACUUUCUCCUUUUUUGUCUUCUCCACACAAUACCCAUCAUCAUAUUGUAUACCACCCAUAGUGCUAUGUCCAUGGCUCGUGCUCAUGUAUUGCGUGAAGGUUGAAAAAGUUUGAGAUUAUUUGAGUAUGAAACAAUUUCUUGGCUUGUCAUCGGGGCUAUAGAAGUUGGGAACAUCUUUGCGUGACGAAAAUGAAGCAUAGCCUAACUAUAUGAUUUUGUAGGGAUGAACUUCCUUUGGCCAUGUUAUUUUGAGGUGACAUAAUUGUUUGAUUAGUAUGUUUGAAGUAUUAUCAUUUUUUAUGUCAAUAUGAACUUUUGUCUUGAACCUUUCGGAUCUGAAUAUUCAUACCAUGAUUAAGAAGAUUUACAUUGAAUUAUGCCAAAGUAUCACUCCGCAUCAAAAAAUCUCUUUUUAUCAUUUACCUACUCGAGGACGAGUAGGAAUUAAGCUUGGGGAUGCCUGAUACGUCUCCAACGUAUCUAUAAUUUUUGAUUGCUCCAUGCUACUUUAUCUACUGUUUUGGACUAUAUUGGGCUUUAUUUUCCACUUUUAUAUUAUUUUUGGGACUAGCCUAUUAACCGGAGGCCCAGCCCAGAAUUGCUGUUUUUUGCCUAUUUCAGUAUUUCGAGGAAACAGAAUAUCAAACGGAGUCCAAACGGAAUGAAACCUUCGGGAACGUGAUCUUCUCACCGAACGUGAUCCAGGAAACUUGGACCCUACUCCAAGAAGUUUCCGGGGAGGUCACGAGGGUGGAGGGUGCCCCCCCUGGGCAUGCCCCCUGCCUCGUGGGCCCCUCGGAGCUCCACCGACGUGCUCCUUCCUCCUAUAUAUACCUACGUACCCCCAUUAGACCAGAGACGGAGCCAAAAACCUAAUUCCACCGUCGCAACUUUCUGUAUCCACGAGAUCCCAUCUUGGGGCCUGUUCCGGAGCUCCACCGGAGAGGGCAUCCAUCACGGAGGGCUUCUACAUCAACACCAUAGCCCUUCCGAUGAAGUGUGAGUAGUUUACUUCAGACCUUCGGGUCCAUAGCUAGUAGCUAGAUGGCUUCUUCUCUCUUUUUGGAUCUCAAUACAAUGUUCUCCCCCUCUCUUGUGGAGAUCUAUUCGAUGUAAUCUUCUUUUUGCGGUGUGUUUGUUGAGAUCGAUGAAUUGUGGGUUUAUGAUCCAACUUAUCUAUGAAUAAUAUUUGAAUCUUCUCUGAAUUUUUUUAUGUAUGAUUGAGUUAUCUUUGCAAGUCUCUUCGAAUUAUCCGUUUGGUUUGGCCAACUAGAUUGGUAGUUCUUGCAAUGGGAGAAGUGCUUAGCUUUGGGUUCAAUCUUGCGGUGUCCUUACUCAGUGACAGAAAGAGUUGCAAGGCACGUAUUGUAUUGUUGCCAUCGAGGAUAACAAGAUGGGGUAUUUAUCAUAUUGCAUGAAUUUAUUCCUCUACAUCAUGUCAUCUUGCUUAAGGCGUUACUCUGUUUUUAACUUAAUACUCUAGAUGCAUGCUGGAUAGCGGUCGAUGAGUGGAGUAAUAGUAGUAGAUGCAGGCAGGAGUCGGUCUACUUGUCACGGACGUGAUUCCUAUAUACAUGAUCAUACCUAGAUAACCUCAUAACUAUGCUAAAUUCUAUCAAUUGCUCAACAGUAAUUUGUUCACCCACCGUAGAAUAUCUAUGCUCUUGAGAGAAGCCACUAGUGAAACCUAUGUCCCCCGGGUGUAUUCUCAUCAUAUCAAUCUCCAUUACUUGUUUUGCUUUUACUUUUCACUUUGCAUCUUUAUACCAAAAAUACCAAAAAUAUUAUCUCUAUCAGAUCUCACUCUCGUAAGUAACCAUGAAGGGAUUGACAACCCCUAAGCGUUGGUUGCGAGUUGCUACCGUUUUGUGCAGGUACGAGGGACUUGCACGUGACCUCCUUCUGGAUUGAUACCUUGGUUCUCAAAAACUAAGGGAAAUACUUAUGAUACUGUGCUGCAUCACCCCCUCCUCGGGGAAAACCAACGCUAGCUCGAGACGUAGUAGCUUGCACCCGUUGUAGAUGGACGUAGAGCUUAUCACACCCGAUCAUCACGUGGUGUAUGGGCACGACGAACUUUGGCAAUGGUGCAUACUUAGGGAGAACACUUUUAUCUUGAAAUUUAGUGAGAGAUCAUCUUAUAAUGCUACGUCAAUCAAAGCAAGAUAAGAUGCAUAAAAGAUAAACAUCACAUGCAAUCAAUAUAAGUGAUAUGAUAUGGCCAUCAUCAUCUUGUGCUUGUGAUCUCCAUCUCUGAAGCACCGUCAUGAUCACCAUCGUCACCGGCGCGACACCUUGAUCUCCAUCGUAGCAUCGUUGUCGUCUCGCCAAUCUUAUGCUUCCACGACAAUCGCUACCGCUUAGUGAUAAAGUAACGCAUUACAACGCAAUUGCAUUGCAUACAAUAAAGCGACAACCAUAUGGCUCCUGCCAGUUGCCGAUAACUCGGUUACAAAACAUGAUCAUCUCAUACAAUAAAAUUUAGCAUCAUGUCUUGACCAUAUCACAUCACAACAUGCCCUGCAAAAACAAGUUAGACGUCCUCUACUUUGUUGUUGCAAGUUUUACGUGGCUACUACGGGCUUAGCAAGAACCGUUCUUACCUACGCAUCAAAACCACAACGAUAGUUUGUCAAGUUGGUGUUGUUUUAACCUUCGCAAGGACCGGGCGUAGCCACACUCGGUUCAACUAAAGUUGGAGAAACUGACACCCACCAGCCACCUGUGUGCAAAGCACGUCGGUAGAACCAGUCUCGCGUAAGCGUACGCGUAAUGUCGGUCUGGGCCGCUUCAUCCAACAAUACCGCCAAACCAAAAUAUGACAUGCUGGUAAGCAGUAUGACUUAUAUCGCCCACAACUCACUUGUGUUCUACUCAUGCACAACAUCAACGCAUAAAACCUAGGCUCGGAUGCCACUGUUGGGUAACGUAGUAAUUUUAAAAAAAUUCCUACGCACACGCAAGAUCAUGGUGAUGCAUAGGAACGAGAGGGGAGAGUGUUGUCCACGUACCCUCGUAGACCGAAAGCGGAAGCGUUAGCACAACGCGGUUGAUGUAGUCGUAUGUCUUCACGGCCCGACCGAUCAAGCACCAAAACUACGGCACCUCCGAGUUCUAGCACACGUUCAGCUCGAUGACGAUCCCCGGACUCUGAUCCAGCAGAAUGUCGGGGAAGAGUUCCGUUAGCACGACGGCGUGGUGACGAUCUUGAUGUUCUACUGUCGCAGGGCUUCGCCUAAGCACCACUACAAUAUUAUCGAGGACUAUGGUGGAGGGGGCACCGCACACGGCUAAGAGAUCAAUGAUCAACUGUUGUGUCUAUGGGGUGCCCCCCUACCCCCGUAUAUAAAGGAGCAAGGGAGGGAGGCGGCCGGCCUAGGAGGAGGGCGCGCCAAGGGGGGAGUCCUACUCCCACCGGGAGUAGGACUCCUCCUUCCCUUGUUGGAGUAGGAGAGAAGGAAAGAGGGGGAGAGGAACAAUGAAAAGUGGGUUGCACCCCUUGUCCAAUUCGGACCAGAGGGGGGGCGCGCGCCUCCUUCCUUUUGGCCUCUCUCCUCUAUUCCCGUAUGGCCCAAUAAGGCCCAUAUACUCCCCGGCGAAUUCCCGUAACUCUCCGGUACUCCGAAAAAUACCCGAAUCACUCGGAACCUUUCUGAUGCCCGAAUAUAGUCGUCCAAUAUAUCGAUCUUUACGUAUCGACCAUUUGGAAACUCCUCGUCAUGUCCCCGAUCUCAUCCGGGACUUCGAACUCCUUCGGUACAUCAAAACUCAUAAACUCAUAAUAUAACUGUCAUCGAAACCUUAAGCGUGCGGACCCUACGGGUUCGAGAACUAUGUAGACAUGACCGAGACACGUCUCCGGUCAAUAACCAAUAGCGGAACCUGGAUGCUCAUAUUGGCUCCCACAUAUUCUACGAAGAUCUUUAUCGGUCAGACCGCAUAACAACAUAUGUUGUUCCCUUUGUCAUCGGUAUGUUACUUGCCCGAGAUUCGAUCGUCGGUAUCUCAAUACCUAGUUCAAUCUCAUUACCGGCAAGUCUCUUUACUCGUUCCGUAAUACAUCAUCCUGCAACUAACUUAUUAGUUGCAAUUCUUGCAAGGCUUAAGUGAUGUGCAUUACCGAGAGGGCCCAGAGAUACCUCUCCGAUAAUCGGAGUGACAAAUCCUAAUCUCGAAAUACGCCAACCCAACAAGUACCUUCGGAGACACCUAUAGAGCACCUUUAUAAUCACCCAGUUACGUUGUGAUGUUUGGUAGCACACAAAGUGUUCCUUCGGUAAACGGGAGUUGCAUAAUCUCAUAGUCAUAGGAACAUGUAUAAGUUAUGAAGAAAGCAAUAGCAACAAACUAAACCAUCAAGUGCUAAGCUAAUGGAAUGGGUCAAGUCAAUCACAUCAUUCUCCUAAUGAUGUGAUCCCGUUAAUCAAAUGACAACUCAUGUCUAUGGCUAGGAAACAUAACCAUCUUCGAUCAACGAGCUAGUCAAGUAGAGGCAUACUAGUGACACUUUGUUUGUCUAUGUAUUCACACAUGUAUUAUGUUUCCGGUUAAUACAAUUCUAGCAUGAAUAAUAAACAUUUAUGAUGAAAUAAGGAAAUAAAUAAUAACUUUAUUAUUGCCUCUAGGGCAUAUUUCCUUCAAUCGGGUCUUCCUGGGAGAAGGAAUAUCUAUCAUUGACCGUGAGAGCUUGUGUUGGGCUAAGUUGGGACACCUCUGCAGGGUAUAAACUUUCGAAAGUCGUGCUCGCGGUUAUGUGGCAGAUGUGAAUUUGUUUAAUAUCCGAUUGUAGAGAACUUGACACUUAACUUAAUUAAAAUGCAUCAACCUCGUGUGUAGCCGUGAUGGUCUCUUUCCGGCGGAGUCCGGGAAGUGAACACGGUUCUUGUGUUAUGCUUGAACAUAAGUAGUUUCAGGAUCACUUCUUGAUCACUUCUAGUUCAUGACCGCUGCGUUGCUUCUCUUCUCGCUCUUAUUUGCGUAUGUUAGCCACCAUAUAUGCUUAGUGCUUGCUGCAGCUCCACCUCAUUACCCUAUCCUACCCUUAAGCUUAAAUAGUCUUGAUCUCGCGGGUGUGAGAUUGUUGAGUCCUCGUGACUCACAGAUCCUUCCAAACAGUUGUAGGUGCCGAUGAUGGCAGUGCAGGUGAUGCAACCGAGCUCAAGUGGGAGCUCGAUGAAGAUCUUAGUCGUUGUUUUGUGUCUUCCGGAUGAUCAGUAGUGGAGCCCAGUUGGGACGAUCGGGGAUCUAGCUUUUGGGGUUGUCUUCUUUUACUUUGGUUCCGUAGUCGGACCUUGAUUGUAUUCUGGAUGAUGUAUGUUAAACUUGUAUUUGUGUGAAGUGGCGAUUGUAAGCCAACUCUUUAUCCAUUUCUUAUUUGGUACAUGGGAUUGUGUGAAGAUUACCCUCUUGUGACAAACCUACCAUGAGGCUAUGCCUCUAAGUCGUGCCCCGACAUGUGGGAGAUAUAGCCGCAUUGUGGGUGUUACAGCUUCUCUUCUUAAUCAGCUCACCCAACUAUCAUUUUUAGGAAGUAUGUUUGUAUUAAAUCACAAACAAAUACAGAGUCUUUAAUCCAUACAAACACACCCUGACAAACACAUAAUAAACCAGGAAAACACAAACACCCUAACACAACCAGUAAAAUACGAAGAUCUCCGGAGUUUUGUGUCAUCAUUCCCAAACCUUGGGAGAAGACUUCUACAACACAAAAAUCGGCAACCAAAUCCAAGCAUGCCAACAUCUUCCAUCACGACAUAAUCACCACCACACCGCUCCUUUUUUUCGCUCCGACGCCGAAAAGACAUGGACACACAUAUGUAUCCAACACACCUGCACCAGCCUUCGCCAUCUAUGGCUUUGAGUACCGCUAUAUGUGUCCCUUCUAGAUUGAAGAUUACUAAAAUCUAGUUUCGGCGCCACGGCCGGGACAACCACCCGGUCAAAUCAGGACAUCCCUCUAACAACAAUACAAAGAAAGAGGAAGAACAACAUCAGAAAAUCAUACCGACAUGGAGGAGGAAGCCAACCAUCUGAGGUCCAACCUGACCAGUGUCGGAUGACCUCCUGACACCAUAGCCCGCGACCUUGAUGACAUCUAGGACCCCCUACCUCUUUGGCUCCUAACGAAGGCAAGAACUUCGCCUGACCGUGAACGGAGUCCGACGAAACUUAUUCAGACGCGACGCCGCCGCAACGGGUGUCUCCCUCAAUCCUAACCCUACUAAGAACCCACCCAACACUGGAGAUAGAGCACUAAUUGCAGUUUUCACCCCACCUUAACGAUCGAGCGAGGGAUGAAAUCUUUCGACGACUAGGGAGGCGUCACCCGAGGCCGAUUCCAGUGGAUCACUAUAGAAUCUUUGAUACGUCUCCAACGUAUCUAUAAUUUUUGAUUGCUCCAUUCUAUAUUAUCUACUGUUUUGGACAUUAUUGGGCUUUAUUAUCCACUUUUAUAUUAUUUUUGGGACUAACCUACUAACCGGAGGCCCAGCCCAGAAUUGUUGUUUUUUGCCUAUUUCAGAGUUUCGCAGAAAAGGAAUAUCAAACAGAGUCCAAACAGAAUGAAACCUUCGGGAACGUGAUUUUCGGAACAAACACGAUCCAGGAGACUUGGACCCUACGUCAAGAAAUAAAGGAGGAAGCCACGAGGUAGGGGGCUCGCCUACCCCCCUGUUCGGGAACGUAGUAAUUUCAAAAAAUUUACUACGCACACGCAAGAUCAUGGUGAUGCAUAGCAACGAGAGGGGAGAGUGUGAUCUACGUAGCCUUGUAGACCGACAGCGGAAGCGUUAGCACAACGCGGUUGAUGUAGUCGUACGUCUUCACGGCCCGACCGAUCAAGCACCGAAACUACGGCACCUCCGAGUUCUAGCACACGUUCAGCUCGAUGACGAUCCCCGGACUCCGAUCCAACAAAGUGUCGGGGAAGAGUUCCAUCAGCACGACGGCGUGGUGAUGAUCUUGAUGUACUACCGUCGCAGGGCUUCGCCUAAGCACCACUACAAUAUUAUCGAGGACUAUGGUGGAAGGGGGCACCGCACACGGUUAAGAAUAUGAUCGCGUGGAUCAACUUGUGUGUCUAGGGGUGCCCCCUGCCCCCGUAUAUAAAGGAUCAAAGGAAGGGUGCGGCCGGCCAGGAGGAGGGCGCGCCAGGAGGAGUCCUACUCCCACCAGGAGUAGGAUCCCCCCCCUUUCCUAGUUGGAAUAGGAUUCAGGAGGGGGAAAGAGGAGAGAGAGAAGGAAGGGGGGCGCCGCCCCCCUCUCCUUAUCCUAUUCGGACUAGGGGGGAGGGGUGCACGGCCCAGCCCUGGCCACCUCUCCUCUCUUCCACUAAAGCCCACUAAGGCCCAUAUACCUCCCGGGGGGGUCCGGUAACCUCCCGGUACUCCGGUAAAAUCCUGAUUUCACCCGGAACACUUCCGAUAUCCAAAUAUAGGCUUCCAAUAUAUCAAUCUUUAUGUCUCGACCAUUUCGAGACUCCUCGUCAUGUCCGUGAUCAUAUCCGGGACUCCAAACAAACUUCAGUACAUCAAAAUGCAUAAACUCAUAAUAUAACUGUCAUCGAAACCUUAAGCGUGCGGACCCUACGGGUUCGAGAACAAUGUAGACAUGACCGAGACACGUCUCCGGUCAAUAACCAAUAGCGGAACCUGGAUGCUCAUAUUGGCUCCUACAUAUUCUACGAAGAUCUUUUAUCGGUCAGACCGCAUAACAACAUAUGUUGUUCCCUUUGUCAUCGGUAUGUUACUUGCCCGAGAUUCGAUCAUCGGUAUCUCAAUACCUAGUUCAAUCUCGUUACCGGCAAGUCUCUUUACUCGUUCCGUAAUACAUCAUAUCACAACUAACUCAUUAGUUGCAAUGCUUGCAAGGCUUAUGUGAUGUGCAUUACCGAGAGGGCCCAGAGAUACCUCUCCGACAAUCGGAGUGACAAAUCCUAAUCUCGAAAUACGCCAACCCAACAUGUACCUUUGGAGACACCUGUAGAGCACCUUUAUAAUCACCCAGUUACGUUGUGACAUUUGGUAGCACACUAAGUGUUCCUCCGGCAAACGGGAGUUGCAUAAUCUCAUAGUCAUAGGAACAUGUAUAAGUCAUGAAGAAAGCAAUAGCAACAUACUAAACGAUCGGGUGCUAAGCUAAUGGAAUGGGUCAUGUCAAUCAGAUCAUUCACCUAAUGAUGUGAUCCCGUUAAUCAAAUAACAACUCUUUGUCCAUGGUUAGGAAACAUAACCAUCUUUGAUUAACGAGCUAGUCAAGUAGAGGCAUACUAGUGACACUCUGUUUGUCUAUGUAUUCACACAUGUAUUAUGUUUCCGGUUAAUACAAUUCUAGCAUGAAUAAUAAACAUUUAUCAUGAUAUAAGGAAAUAAAUAAUAACUUUAUUAUUGCCUCUAGGGCAUAUUUCCUUCAGUCUCCCACUUGCACUAGAGUCAAUAAUCUAGAUUACACAGUAAUGAUUCUAACACCCAUGGAGCCUUGGUGCUGAUCAUGUUUUGCUCAUGGAAGAGGCUUAGUCAACAGGUCUGCUACAUUUAGAUCCGUAUGUAUCUUGCAAAUCUCUAUGUCUCCCACCUGGACUAGAUCCCGGAUGGAAUUGAAGCAUCUCUUGAUGUGCUUGGUUCUCUUGUGAAAUUUGGAUUCCUUUGCCAAGGCAAUUGCACCAGUAUUGUCACAAAAGAUUUUCAUUGGACCCGAUGCACUAGGUAUGACACCUAGAUCGGAUAUGAACUCCUUCAUCCAGACUCCUUCAUUUGCUGCUUCCGAAGCAGCUAUGUAUUCUGCUUCACACGUAGAUCCUGCCACAACGCUUUGUUUAGAACUGCACCAACUGACAGCUCCACCGUUUAAUGUAAACACGUAUCCGGUUUGCGAUUUAGAAUCGUCCGGAUCAGUGUCAAAGCUCGCAUCAACGUAACCAUUUACGAUGAGCUCUUUGUCACCUCCAUAAACGAGAAACAUAUCCUUAGUCCUUUUUAGGUAUUUCAGGAUGUUCUUGACCGCUGUCCAGUGAUCCACUCCUGGAUUACUUUGGUACCUCCCUGCUAGACUUAUAGCAAGGCACACAUCAGGUCUGGUACACAGCAUUGCAUACAUGAUAGAGCCUAUGGCUGAAGCAUAGGGAACAUCUUUCAUUUUCUCUCUAUCUUCUGCAGUGGUCGGGCAUUGAGUCUUACUCAACUUCACACCUUGUAACACAGGCAAGAACCCUUUCUUUGCUUGAUCCAUUUUGAACUUCUUCAAAACUUUGUCAAGGUAUGUGCUUUUUGAAAGUCCAAUUAAGCGUCUUGAUCUAUCUCUAUAGAUCUUAAUGCCUAAUAUGUAAGCAGCUUCACCGAGGUCUUUCAUGGAAAAACUCUUAUUCAAGUAUCCCUUUAUGCUAUCCAGAAAUUCUAUAUCAUUUCCAAUUAGUAAUAUGGCAUCCACAUAUAAUAUCAGAAAUGCUAAAGAGCUCCCACUCACUUUCUUGUAAAUACAGGCUUCUCCAAAAGUCUAUAUAAAACCAAAUGCUUUGAUCACACUAUCAAAGCGUGUAUUCCAACUCCAAGAGGCUUGCACCAGUCCAUAAAUGGAUCGCUGGAGCUUGCACACUUUGUUAGCUCCCUUUGGAUCGAUAAAACCUUCUAGUUGCAUCAUAUACAACUCUUCUUCCAGAAAUCCAUUCAGGAAUGCAGUUUUACAUCCAUCUGCCAAAUUUCAUAAUCAUAAAAUGCGGCAAUUGCUAACAUGAUUCGGACAGACUUAAGCAUCGCUACGAGUGAGAAGGUCUCAUCGUAGUCAAUCCCUUGAACUUGCCGAAAACCUUUUUGCCACAAGUCGAGCUUUGUAGACAAUAAUAUUACCGUCAGCGUCAUCUUCUUCUUGAAGAUCCAUUUAUUAUCAAUUGCUUGCCGAUCAUUGCGCAAGUCAACCAAAGUCCAUACUUUGUUCUCAUACAUGGAUCCCAUCUCAGAUUUCAUGGCUUCAAGCCAUUUUGCAGAAUCUGGGCUCACCAUCGCUUCUUCAUAGUUCGUAGGUUCAUCAUGAUCUAGUAGCAUGACUUCCAGAACAGGAUUACCAUACCACUCUAGCGCGGAUCUCACUCUGGUUGAUCUACGAGGUUCAGUAGUAUCUUGUUCUGAAGUUUCAUGAUCAUUAUCAUUAGCUUCCUCACUAAUUGGUGUAGGUGUCGUAGAAACAGGUUUCUGUGAUGUACUACUUCCCAAUAAGGGAGUAGGUACAGUUACCUCAUCAAGUUCUACUUUCCUCCCACUCACUUCUUUCGAGAGAAACUCCUUCUCCAGAAAGUUUCUGAAUUUGGCAACAAAAGUCUUGCCUUCGGAUCUGUGAUAGAAGGUGUAUCCAAUAGUUUCCUUUGGAUAUCCUAUGAAGACACAUUUCUCCGAUUUGGGUUCGAGCUUAUCAGGUUGAAGCUUUUUCACAUAAGCAUCGCAGCCCCAAACUUUCAGAAACGACAACUUUGGUUUCUUGCCAAACCACAGUUCAUAAGGCGUCGUCUCAAUGGAUUUUGAUGGUGCCCUAUUUAACGUGAAUGCGGCCGUCUCUAGAGCGUAUCCCCAAAACGAUAGCGGUAAAUCAGUAAGAGACAUCAUAGAUCGCACCAUAUCUAGUAAAGUACGAUUACGACGUUCGGAUACACCAUUACGCUGUGGUGUUCCGGGUGGCGUGAGUUGCGAAACUAUUCCACAUUGUUUCAAAUGUACACCAAACUCGUAACUCAAAUAUUCUCCUCCACGAUCAGAUCGUAGGAAUUUUAUUUUCUUGUUACGAUGAUUUUCAACUUCACUCUAAAAUUCUUUGAACUUUUCAAAUGUUUCAUACUUGUGUUUCAUUAAGUAGAUAUACGCAUAUCUGCUUAAGUCAUCUGUGAAGGUGAGAAAAUAGCGAUAUCCGCCACGAGCCUCAACAUUCAUCGGACCACAUACAUCUGUAUGUAUGAUUUCCAACAAAUCUGUUGCUCUCUCCAUAGUACCGGAGAACGGUGUUUUUGUCAUCUUACCCAUAAGGCACGGUUCGCAAGUACCAAGUGAUUCAUAAUCAAGUGGUUCCAAAAGUCCAUCAGUAUGGAGUUUCUUCAUGCGCUUUAUACCGAUAUGACCCAAACAGCAGUGCCACAAAUAAGUUGCACUAUCAUUAUCAACUCUGCAUCUUUUGGCUUCAACACUAUGAAUAUGUGUGUCACUACUAUCGAGAUUUAAUAAGAAUAUACCACUCUUUAAGGGUGCAUGACCAUAAAAGAUAUUACUCAUGUAAAUAGAACAACCAUUAUUCUCUGAUUUAAAUGAAUAACCAUCUCGCAUCAAACAAGAUCCAGAUACAAUGUUCAUGCGUAACGCUGGCACCAAAUAACAAUUAUUUAGGUCUAAUACUAAUCCCGAAGGUAGAUGUAGAGGUAGCGUGCCGUCUGCGAUCACAUCGACUUUGGAACCAUUUCCCACGCGCAUCGUCACCUCGUCCUUAGCCAAUCUUUGCUUAAUCCGUAGUCCCUGUUUCGAGUUGCAAAUGUUAGCAACAGAACCAGUAUCAAAUACCCAGGUGCUACUGCGAGCAUUAGUAAGGUACACAUCAAUAACAUGUAUAUCACAUAUACCUUUGUUCACCUUGCCAUCCUUCUUAUCCGCCAAAUACUUGGGGCAGUUCCGCUUCCAGUGACCAGUCUGCUUGCAGUAGAAGCACUCAGUUUCAGGCUUAGGUCCAGGUUUGGGUUUCUUCUCUUGAGUAGCAACUUGCUUGUUGUUCUUUUUGAAGUUCCCCUUCUUCUUCCCUUUGCCCUUUUUCUUGAAACUAGUGGUCUUGUUGACCAUCAACACUUGAUGCUCCUUCUUGAUUUCUACCUCCGCAGCUUUCAGCAUUGCGAAGAGCUCGGGAAUAGUCUUAUUCAUCCCUUGCAUAUUAUAGUUCAUCACGAAGCUCUUGUAGCUUGGUGGCAGUGAUUGGAGAAUUAUGUUAAUGACGCAAUCAUCUGGAAGAUUAACUCCCAAUUGAAUCAAGUGAUUAUUAUACCCAGAUAUUUUGAGUAUAUGCUCACUGACAGAACUAUUCUCCUCCAUCUUGCAGCUAUAGAACUUAUUGGAGACUUCAUAUCUCUCAAUCCGGGCAUUUGCUUGAAAUAUUAACUUCAACUCCUGGAACAUCUCAUAUGCUCCAUGACGUUCAAAACGUCGUUGAAGUCCCGAUUCUAAGCUGUAAAGCAUGGCACACUGAACUAUCGAGUAGUCAUCAGCUUUGCUCUGCCAGACGUUCAUAACAUCUGGUGUUGCUCCAGCAGCAGGCCUGGCACCCAGCGGUGCUUCCAGGACGUAAUUCUUCUAUGCAGCAAUGAGGAUAAUCCUCAAGUUACGGACCCAGUCCGUGUAAUUGCUACCAUCAUCUUUCAACUUUGCUUUCUCAAGGAACGCAUUAAAAUUCAACGGAACAACAGCACGGGCCAUCUAUCUACAAUCAAACAUAAAUAAGCAAGAUACUAUCAGGUACUAAGUUCAUGAUAAAUUUAGGUUCAAUUAAUCAUAUUACUUAAAGAACUCCCACUUAGAUAGACAUCCCUCUAAUCCUCUAAGUGAUUACGUGAUCCAAAUCAACUAAACCAUGUCCGAUCAUCACGUGAGAUGGAGUAGUUUCAUUGGUGAACAUCACUAUGUUGAUCAUAUUUACUAUAUGAUUCACGCUCGACCUUUCGGUCUCCGUGUUCCGAGGCCAUAUCUGUAUAUGCUUGACUCGUCAAGUAUAACCUGAGUAUUCCGCAUGUGCAACUGUUUUGCAUCCGUUGUAUUUGAACAUAGAGCCUAUCACACCCGAUCAUCACGUGGUGUCUCAGCAUGAAGAACUUUCGCAACGGUGCAUACUCAGGGAGAACACUUCUUGAUAAUUAGUGAGAGAUCAUCUUAUAAUGCUACCGUCAAUCAAAGCAAGAUAAGAUGCAUAAAAGAUAAACAUCACAUGCAAUCAAUAUAAGUGAUAUGAUAUGGCCAUCAUCAUCUUGUGCUUGUGAUCUCCAUCUUUGAAGCACCGUCGUGAUCACCAUCGUCACCGGCGCGACACCUUGAUCUCCAUCGUAGCAUCAUUGUCGUCUCGCCAAUCUUAUGCUUCCACGACUAUCGCUACCGCUUAGUGAUAAAGUAAAGCAUUACAGCACGAUUGCAUUGCAUACAAUAAAGCGACAACCAUAUGGCUCCUGCCAGUUGCCGAUAACUCGGUUACAAAACAUGAUCAUCUCAUACAAUAAAAUUUAGCAUCAUGUCUUGACCAUAUCACAUCACAACAUGCCCUGCAAAAACAAGUUAGACGUCCUCUACUUUGUUGUUGCAAGUUUUAUGUGGCUGCUAUGGGCUUAAGCAAGAACCAAUCUUACCUACACAUCAAAACCACGACGAUAGUUUGUCAAGUUGGUGCUGUUUUAACCUUCGCAAGGACCGGGCGUAGCCACACUCGGUUCAACUAAAGUUGGAGAAACUGUCACCCGCUAGCCACCUUUGUGCAAAGCACGUCGGGAGAACCGGUCUCGCGUAAGCGUACGCGUAAUGUCGGUCCGGGCCGCUUCGUCAAACAAUACCGCCGAACCAAAGUAUGACAUGCUGGUAAGCAGUAUGACUUAUAUCACCCACAACUCACUCAUGUUCUACUCGUGCAUAUAACAUCAACACAUAAAACCUAGGCUCGGAUGCCACUGUUGGGGAACGUAGUAAUUUCAAAUAAUUUCCUACGCACACGCAAGAUCAUGGUGAUGCAUAGCAACGAGAGGGGAGAGUGUGAUCUACGUACCCUUGUAGACCGACAGCAGAAGCGUUAGCACAACGCGGUUGAUGUAGUCGUACGUCUUCACGGCCCAACCGAUCAAGCACCGAAACUACGGCACCUCCGAGUUCUAGCACACGUCCAGCUCGAUGACGAUCCCCGGACUCCGAUCCAGCAAAGUGUCGAGGAAGAGUUCCGUCAGCACGACGGCGUGGUGACGAUCUUGAUGUACUACCGUCGCAAGGCUUCGCCUAAGCACCGCUACAAUAUUAUCGAGGACUAUGGUGGAAGGGGGCACCGCACACGGUUAAGAAUAUGAUCAUGUGGAUCAACUUGUGUGUCUAGGGGUGCCCCCUGCCCCCGUAUAUAAAGGAUCAGAGGGGGGGUGCGGCCGGCCAGGAGGAGGGCGCGCCAGGAGGAGUCCUACUCCCACCGGGAGUAGGAUUCCCCCCCUUUCCUAGUUGGAAUAGGAUUCGGGAGGGGGAAAGAGGAGAGAGAGAAGGAAGGGGGGCGCCGCCCCCCUCUCCUUAUCCUAUUCGGACUAGGGGGGAGGGGCGCGCGGCCCAGCCCUGGCCACCUCUCCUCUCUUCCACUAAAGCCCACUAAGGCCCAUAUACCUCCCGGGGGGGGGUCCGGUAACCUCCCGGUACUCCGGUAAAAUCCCGAUUUCACCCGGAACACUUCCAAUAUCCAAAUAUAGGCUUCCAAUAUAUCAAUCUUUAUGUCUCAACCAUUUCGAGACUCCUCGUCAUGUCCGUGAUCACAUCCGGGACUCCGAACAAACUUCGUUACAUCAAAAUGCAUAAACUCAUAAUAUAACUGUCAUCGAAACCUUAAGCAUGCGGACCCUACGGGUUCGAGAACAAUGUAGACAUGACCGAGACACGUCUCCGGUCAAUAACCAAUAGCGGAACCUGGAUGCUCAUAUUGGCUCCUACAUAUUCUACGAAGAUCUUUUAUCGGUCAGACCGCAUAACAACAUACGUUGUUCCCUUUGUCAUCGGUAUGUUACUUGCCCGAGAUUCGAUCGUCGGUAUCUCAAUACCUAGUUCAACCUCGUUACCGGCAAGUCUCUUUACUCGUUCCGUAAUACAUCAUCUCACAACUAACUCAUUAGUUGCAAUGCUUGCAAGGCUUAUGUGAUGUGCAUUACCGAGAGGGCCCAGAGAUACCUCUCCGACAAUCGGAGUGACAAAUUCUAAUCUCGAAAUACGCCAACCCAACAUGUACCUUUGGAGACACCUGUAGAGCACCUUUAUAAUCACCCAGUUACGUUGUGACGUUUGGUAGCACACAAAGUGUUCCUCCGGCAAACGGGAGUUGCAUAAUCUCAUAGUCAUAGGAACAUGUAUAAGUCAUGAAGAAAGCAAUAGCAACAUACUAAACGAUCGGGUGCUAAGCUAAUGGAAUGGGUCAUGUCAAUCAGAUCAUUCACCUAAUGAUGUGAUCCCGUUAAUCAAAUAACAACUCUUUGUCCAUGGUUAGGAAACAUAACCAUCUUUGAUUAACGAGCUAGUCAAUUAGAGGCAUACUAGUGACACUCUGUUUGUCUAUGUAUUCACACAUGUAUUAUGUUUCCGGUUAAUACAAUUCUAGCAUGAAUAAUAAACAUUUAUCAUGAUAUAAGGAAAUAAAUAAUAACUUUAUUAUUGCCUCUAGGGCAUAUUUCCUUCACCCCCCCAGGAGCGCCCUCCACCCACGUGGCCCCCCUGUUUCUCCACCGACGUACUCUUUCCUCCUAUAUAUACCUACGUACCCUCAAACGAUCAGGGAUGGAGCCAAAAACCUAAUUCCACUGCCACAACCUUCUGUAUCCACGAGAUCCCAUCUUGGGGCCUGUUCCAGAGCUUCGUCGGAGGGGGCAUGCAUCACGUAGGGCUUCUACAUCAACACCAUAGCCUCUCCGAUGAAGUGUGAGUAGUUUACCUCAGACCUUCGGGUCCAUAGUUAUUAGCUAGAUGGCUUCUUCUUUCUUUUUGGAUCUCAAUACAACAUUCUCCCCCUCUCUUGUGGAGAUCUAUUCGAUGUAAUCUUCUUUUUGCGGUGUGUUUGUUGAGAUCGAUGAAUUGUGGGUUUAUGAUCAAGAUUAUCUAUGAACAAUAUUUGAAUCUUCUCUGAAUUCUUUUAUGUAUGAUUGAUUAUCUUUGCAAGUCUCUUCGAAUUAUCAGUUUGGUUUAGCCUACUAGAUUGAUCUUUCUUGCAAUGGGAGAAGUGUUUAGCUUUGGGUUCAAUCUUGCGGUGUCCUUUCCUAGUGACAGUAGGGGCAGCAAGGCACGUAUUGUAUUGUUGCCACCAAGGAUAACAAGAUGGGUUUUUUUUAUCAUAUUGCAUGAAUUUAUCCCUCUACAUCAUGUCAUCUUGCUUAAGGCGUUACUCUGUUUUCAUGAACUUAAUACUCUAGAUGCAUGCUGGAUAGCGGUCGAUGAGUGGAGUAAUAGUAGUAGAUGCAGGUAGGAGUCGUUCUACUUCUCUCGGACAUGAUGUCUAUAUACAUGAUCAUACCUAGAUAUUCUCAUAACUAUGCUCAAUUCUGUCAAUUGCUCAACAGUAAUUCGUUCACCCAUCGUAAAAUACUUAUGCUCUUGAGAGAAGCCACUAGUGAAACCUAUGGCCCCGGGGUCUAUCUUUAUCAUAUUAAUCUUCCAAUACUUAGUUAUUUCCUUUGCUUUUUUACUUUGCUUUUAUUUUACUUUGCAUCUUUAUCACAAAAAUACCAAAAAUAUUACUCUAUCAUAUCUAUCAGAUCUCACUCUCGUAAGUGACCUUGAAGGGAUUGACAACCCCUUAUCGCGUUGGUUGCGAGGAGUUAUUUGUUUUGUGCAGGUACGAGGGACUCGCGCGUAGCCUCGUACUGGAUUGAUACCUUGGUUCUCAAAAACUGAGGGAAAUACUUACGCUACUUUGCCGCAUCAUCCUUUCCUCUUCAAGGAAAUCCAACACAGUGCUCAAGAGGUAGCAAGAAGAUUUUUGGCGCCGUUGCCGGGGAGUCUACGCAAAAGUCAACAUACCAAGUACCCAUCACAACCCUUAUCUCCCGCAUUACAUUAUUUGUCAUUUGCCUCUCGUUUUCCUCUCCCCCACUUCACCUUUGCCGUUUUAUUCGCCCUCUCUCUCUCUAUCCUCCCUCUCUUUCUCUAUUUGCCUCUUUUUGCCCGCUUGCUUUUUGUUUGCUUGUGUGUUGGAUUGCUUGCUUGUCGCUAUGGCUAGUCCCUUAUCCACUCUGUUGUCCCCUGAGUUUGAAGUCUUUCACUUCAAACAAAGACAAGGAGAAAACUUAAAAGAUGCAUGGUUGAGGAUAAUGGAGUCUUAUCGUAAUUGUACCUUUGAAGUGAACCUGAGAAUUUUUCUUUGCAAUUUCUAUGUUGGAUUAAAUAUGUCUCAUAGACAAUUCUUGGAUUGCGUUGCCAAAGGCAAUUUUAUUGAAAUUGAUCCCCAUAUUGCGCUUGAAAUUAUAGAAGGUAUAGUGGGAACACUACCUUAACAAAAGGGGCCUCAUCCUACCCAGGAAGAGACACAAGUUUUUGUAAAAAAUUGUGAAGUUACUAAGAUUUUACAGAAGUCUCUUGAACCUCUUAAGAACGUUAGCAAAAAUAUUCACCGCAUGAAUAUGUUGAUUACUCUUUGCAAUAAACGGUUGGAUUAUUUAGAUCUAAAAAUUUUAGAAUAUGAAGGGAAACAUAAAGAACCUCCCGGAUUCGAGCUUAAUUCCACUAAAAAGUUGAAAACCAAAGGUGGCAAUACUUAGAUAUAUCCUUGCUUUUUAUGCCUAGCUAGGGGCGUUAAACGAUAGCGCUUGUUGGGAGGAAACCCAAUUUUAUUUUUAUUCCUUGCUUUUUGCUCCUGUUUAGUAAUAAAUAAUUUACCUAGCCUCUGUUUUGGUUGUGUUCUUUGUGUUUAAUUAGUGUUUGUGCCAGGUAGAACCGUUGGAAAGACUUGGGGAAAGUCUUGAUAUCUUGCUAUAAAAAACAGAAACUUUAGCGCUCACGAGAACUGCUGCCAUUUUUAUUUGGAAAGUGAUAUUUAGUUAAUUCUUUUUGCAUAUUAUUAAUAGAUAAAUUCCUCACGUCCAGCAAUUUAUUUUAGAAUUUUUAGGGUUCCAGAUCUUGCGCUAGUUACAGAUUAUCACAGACUGUUCUGUUUUUGACAGAUUCUAUUUUUCGUGUGUUGUUUGCUUAUUUUGAUGAAUCUAUGGCUAGUAAAAUAGUUUAUAAACCAUAGAGAAGUUGGAAUACAGUAGGUUUAACACCAAUAUAAAUAAAGAAUGAGUUCAUCAAAGUAUCUUGAAGUGAUCUUUUGUUUUCUUUCGCUAACGGAGCUCAUGAGAUUUUCUACUUUAAGUUUUGUGUUGUGAAGUUUUCAAGUUUUGGAUAAAGAUUUGAUGGAUUAUGGAACAAGGAGUGGCAAGAGCUUAAGUUUGGGGAUUCCCAUGGCACCCCCAAGAUAAUCUAAGGACACCUAAAAGCCAAAGCUUGGGGAUGCCCCGGAAGGCACCCCCUCUUUCGUCUACUUCCAUUGGUAACUUUACUUGGAGCUAUAUUUUUAUUCACCACAUGAUAUGUGUUUUGCUUGGAGCGUCUUGUAUGAUUUGAGUCUUUUCUUUUUAGUUUACCACAAUAAUCCUUGCUAUACACACCUUUUGAGAGAGCCAUACAUGAUUUGGAAUUUGUUAGAAUACUCUAUGUGCUUGACUUAUAUCUUUUGAGUUAUAUAGUUUUGCUCUAGUACUUCACUUAUAUCUUUUAGAGCACGGUGGUGGAUUUGUUUUAUAGAAUCUAUUGAUCUCUCAUGCUUCACUUAGAUUAUUUUGAGAGUCUUAAAUAGCAUGGUAAUUUGCUUAAAUAAUCUUAAUAUGCUAGGUAUUCAAGAUUAGUAAAAAAAUUCUUAUGAGUGUUUUGAAUACUAAGAGAAGUUUGAUGCUUGAUGAUUGUUUUGAGAUAUGGAGGUAAUAAUAUCAAACUCAUGCUAGUUGAGUAGUUGUAAAUUUGAGAAAUGUUUGUGUUGAAGUUUGCAAGUCCCGUAGCAUGCACGUAUGGUAAACAUUAUGUAACAAAUUUGAAACAUGAGGUGUUCUUUGAUUGUCCUCCUUAUGAGUGGCGGUCGGGGAUGAGCGAUGGUCUUUUUCUACCAAUAUAUCCCCCUAGGAGCAUGCACGUAGUGCUUAGUUUUUGAUGACUUGUAGAUUUUUGCAAUAAGUAAGUGAGUUCUUUAUGACUAAUGUUGAGUCCAUGGAUUAUACGCACUCUCACCCUUCCAUCAUUGCUAACCUCUUCGGUACCGUGCAUUGCCCUUUCUCACAUUGAGAGUUGGUGCAAACUUCGCCGGUGCAUCCAAACCCCGUGAUAUGAUACACUCUUUCACACAUAAACCUCCUUAUAUCUUCCUCAAAACAGCCACCAUACCUACCUAUUAUGGCAUUUCCAUAGCCAUUUCGAGAUAUAUUGCCAUGCAACUUUCCACCAUUCCGUUUAUCAUGACACAUUCAUCAUUGUCAUAUUGCUUAGCAUGAUCAUGUAGUUGACAUAGUAUUUGUGGCAAAGCCACCAUUCAUAAUUCUUUCAUACAUGUCACUCUUGGUUCAUUGCAUAUCCCGGAGGCAUUCAUAUAGAGUCAUCUUUUGUUCUAGCAUCGAGUUGUAAUCAUUGAGUUGUAAAUAAAUAGAAGUGUGAUGAUCAUCAUUUUCUAGAGCAUUGUCCCCCCCAAGUGAGGAAUUAAAAAAAAGGGGGAAGAAAGGCCAUAAAAAGAAAAGAAAAGAAGGCCCAAAAAAGAGAGAAAAAGAGAGAAGGGACAAUGCUACUAUCCUUUGCCACACUUGGGCUUCAAAGUAGCACCAUAAUCUUCAUGAUAGAGUCUUUUGUUUUGUCACUUUCAUAUACUAGUGGGAAUUUUUCAUUAUAGAACUUGGCUUGUAUAUUCUAACAAUGGGCCUCCUCAAGUGCCCUAGGUCUUCAUGAGCAAGCAAGUUGGAUGCACACCCACUUAGUUUCUUCUGUUGAGCUUUCAUACAUUUAUAGCUCUAGUGCAUCCGUUGCAUGGCAAUUCCUACUCCUUGCAUUAACAUCAAUCGAUGGGCAUCUCCAUAGCCCAUUGAUUAGCCUCAUUGAUGUGAGACUUUCUCUUUUUUUUCUCCAUAUAACCCCCAUCAUCAUAUUCUAUUCCACCCAUAGUGCUAUGUCCAUGGCUCGCGCUCAUAUAUUGCGUGAAAGUUUAUAGGUUUGAGAUUACUAAAGUAUGAAACGAUUGCUUGGCUUGUCAUCGGGGUUGUGCAUGAUGAGAGCAUUCUUGUGUGACGAAAAUGGAGCAUGACUAAACUAUAUGAUUUUGUAGGGAUGAACUUUCUUUGGCCAUGUUAUUUUGAGAAGACAUAAUUUCUUAGUUAGUAUGCUUGAAGUAUUAUUAUUUUUAUGUCAAUAUGAACUUUUAUCUUGAAUCUUUCGGAUCUGAAUAUUCAUACCACAAUUAAGAAGAAUUACAUUGAAAUUAUGCCAAGCAGCCCUCCACAUCAAAAAUUAUCUUUUUUUAUCAUUUACCUACUCGAGGACGAGCAGGAAUUAAGCUUGGGGAUGCUUGAUACGUCUCCAACGUAUCUAUAAUUUUUGAUUGCUCCAUGCUGUAUUAUCUACUGUUUUGGAUGUUAUUGGGCGUUAUUAUCCACUUUUAUAUUAUUUUUGGGACUAACCUAUUAACCGGAGGCCCAGCCCAGAAUUGCUGUUUUUUGCCUAUUUCAGAGUUCUGUAGAAAAGGAAUAUCAAACGGAGUCCAAACGGAAUGAAACCUUCGGAAACGUGAUUUUCGGAACGAACAUGAUCCAGGAGACUUGGACCCUACGUCAAGAAAUAAAGGAGGAAGCCAUGAGGUAGGGGGCGCGCCUACCCCCCCCCUCUCAAGCGCGCCCUCCACCAUCGUGGGCCCCAUGUUGCUCCACUGACAUACUCCUUCCUCCUAUAUAUACCUACGUACCCUCAAACGAUCAGGGACGGAGCCAAAAACCUAAUUCCACUGCCGCAACCUUCUGUAUCCACGAGAUCCCAUCUUGGGGCCUGUUUCGGAGCUCAGCCGGAGGGGGCAUCCAUCACGGAGGGCUUCUACAUCAACACCAUAGCCUCUCCAAUGAAGUGUGAGUAGUUUACCUCAGACCUUCGGGUCCAUAGUUAUUAGCUAGAUGGCUUCUUCUUUCUUUUUGGAUCUCAAUACAACAUUCUCCCCCUCUCUUGUGGAGAUCUAUUCGAUGUAAUCUUCUUUUUGCGGUGUGUUUGUUGAGACCGAUGAAUUGUGGGUUUAUAAUCAAGAUUAUCUAUGAACAAUAUUUGAAUCUUCUCUAAAUUCUUUACCUAUGAUUGGUUAUCUUUGCAAGUCUCUUCAAAUUAUCAGUUUGGUUUGGCCUACUAGAUUGAUUUUUCUUGCAAUGGGAGAAGUGUUUAGCUUUGGGUUCAAUCUUGCGGUGUCCUUUCCCAGUGAUAGUAGGGGCAGUAAGGCACGUAUUGUAUUGUUGCUAUCGAGGAUAACGAGAUGGGUUUUUUUAUCAUAUUGCAUGAAUUUAUCCUUCUACAUCAUGUCAUCUUGCUUAAGGCGUUACUCUGUUUUCAUGAACUUAAUACUCUAGAUGCAUGCUGGAUAGCGGUCGAUGAGUGGAGUAAUAGUAGUAGAUGCAGGCAGGAGUCGGUCUACUUGUCUCGGACGUGAUGCCAUAUACACGAUCAUACCUAGAUAUUCUUAUAACUAUGCUCAAUUCUGUCAAUUGCUCAACAGUAAUUCGUUCACUCACCGUAAAAAUACUUAUGCUCUUGAGAGAAGCCACUAGUGAAACCUAUGGCCCCGGGGUCUAUCUUUAUCAUAUUAAUCUUCCAAUACCUAGUUAUUUCCUUUGCUUUUAUUUUACUUUGCAUCUUUAUCAUAAAGUACCAAAAAUAUUACUCUAUCAUAUCUACUAGAUCUCACUCUCGUAAGUAACCGUGAAAGGAUCGACAACCCCUUAUCGUAUUGGUUGCGAGGAGUUAUUUGUUUUGUGUAGGUACGAGGGACUCGCGCGAACUUCCUACUGGAUUGAUACCUUGGUUCUUAAAAACUGAGGAAAAUACUUACGCUACUUUGCUGCAUCAUCCUUUCCUCUUCAAGGAAAUCCAACGCAAUGCUUAAGAGAUAGCAAUCUGUGAAGGGAGAAGGAAUCAACGUCGGCACCGGUGGAUCGCAAAGGGACUCGCUCCUGUUCGCCUAACCACUCGCAAGAUGCAGCGUACCCAACAAUUAUUUGAUGCAUUAGCUUCACAUACUAUAACGUUCUACUGUCACGAACAGGGAUCUUCCUAAAACAACCGCAAGAUCACUGUCAUCCAAAGAACAGAAUAGUGAAUCUCUGUAAACAAAUAUAACAGUGUUUAGAUCACUAUUUUAGUGAUUUAAACACUCUUAUAUUUUUUUACGGAGGGAGUACUAUGAAAUUUGCAUCACUGGGUCAAGGUCUCUCUGGACUUCUCUUUUGCCUCUGGGCACGGAGGGAGUACUAUGAAAUUUGCAUCACUGGGUCAAGGUCUCUCUGGACUUCUCUUUUGCCUCUCCCAGAGUUAUUCUUCCACUGUUCCAGCAUCCUCCAGUUCAAUACCUUCAUCCUCCUUUCAUGGACUGGCACGGGCAAGCAGCGAUGUCUAGAGCAAGAGAUGAAAACUUGGGUUUAGGAGGCCGUCACCGAGUCAUCUAUAGAUUGGUUAUAUUCAGAUUCAUUUGAUUUUGAUUUUCUUUUGUUGCAUGAGGUCAGAGUCCACAGCUAGGGAAGAGUCGUCAGAUGACAAUUGAAGUAGGGAUCUGCCCCUUUCAAUACUACUACUACUACCAAAUUCACCGGUGCUACAUAUAAACAUUGCGAAGCUUAGAACUAGAUGGCCCUAAGAAACUACUCCAGCUAUGCUCCAGCUGUGUCAUAUCAAGAAACAAAAAGGAAGAAGUGUCCCUGGCCUAGGCACCUAUGGAGCACACCCAUGAGAAAAUAAACAAAUUCAGGCAAACAAAAAAAAACGAACAGAGCACACAACCAUGAGAAGAUAAGCCUGAAGUACAUUUAUUUAGUGCACAAUAACCUGGAUAAACCAUACUGCCAUACUGGUGGCACAUACAAACCAUGGUGAAGGACAACUUGCAUCAACACACCGAUGCAAAUUCAAAUGUCUCGGAUGUAAAAGUGCAUCAAACACAGAUGCCUCACGUGACUACUAGCAAUUCAAAUGGUCUUAGAUGUGACAAUACCAAGUAUACGACAACUUCCAGGCUUCGGUGACAGCACACGAGCAUUUGUGUGUUGC